Non-coding RNA from Lepisosteus oculatus (spotted gar), 661 nucleotides. The record is from RefSeq and is a predicted model, not a curated record. NCBI's taxonomy places the organism in Eukaryota, Metazoa, Chordata, Actinopteri, Semionotiformes, Lepisosteidae.
GCAAAAGUCUGAUUCGUGGAGCUUCGAACGGGAUAUGCAGCUCUGAUUGGUUCCUGGCCUGUGGUUCAGUCACGUGAGCUGAGGCCAGCUACAGUGCGACUGGGUACAGAGCCAGGUAACCCAACACUACCGCAUGUGCCUAAAUCCUGACCUGGAGAGAACAGCCUCUACAGAGUCCAAAAGGAAGUUCCAGGCCAGUGGGUCUCGGCAUCUCCCAAUGUUAUCUCCAGCUGUCCAUGUCAGCAGCUCUGGACUCUCUCUUUACUGGAAGAACUAAUUUUGUACUGCAGUGCUGCACCAUCAUUUGCAGUUUGACACUAAAAUACGGUUUGCCUGACCACUUUCUGCAUGUGCCUAAAAAAACAGAUAUUUACACCUUGCACAAAAUCUGAAGGCUAGUUUAGAUUAUUUUUUUAAAGCCUUCUUACCUUGGCAGAGUGAGUAUUACACAGUACAUAGCAUCAAACUCCUGCUUCAUGUUCUCUCUGGGAUACCAGCAAUAAGACUCAGUAAACUAGCAGGUACAAAAAUGAGCAUAGACCAGUUAACACAGACUUCCCUUUAAUAAAUGAUGAAGCACCACAUCACGAUUGACUUGCAUUUCAAACAUUGUCACCCAUUGAAGUAUCAGACAAUCUUGGGCUGUUACUGAAUGAGAAGA